RNAcentral lists this small RNA (127 nucleotides) under Marmota monax (woodchuck). The record is from RNAcentral. Lineage: Eukaryota; Metazoa; Chordata; Mammalia; Rodentia; Sciuridae.
GCUGGAUGUGGUGGUGCACACUUGUAAUCUUAGCGACUCAGGAGGCUGAGGCAGGAGGAUCAAGAGUUCAAAGCCAGCCUCAGCAACUGAGCAAGGCUGUAAGCAACUCAGUGAGACCCUGUCUCUA